This is a long non-coding RNA of Mercurialis annua (annual mercury), 1126 nucleotides long. RefSeq lists it as uncharacterized. NCBI's taxonomy places the organism in Eukaryota, Viridiplantae, Streptophyta, Magnoliopsida, Malpighiales, Euphorbiaceae. The record is from RefSeq and is a predicted model, not a curated record. The transcript has 2 exons.
UUUAUAUGUUUUACCGUUUUUUCACGGACAUUUACUUUUAUACAGUGGACUCUAAUUAUUUACAUUCAGCACCAAAUUAGUUUUCUUUUUAGACCUAACUUUUAUAUUCUUUUCUUUUCUACGAUUUUAUCUGUUUUCUCUCAUUUUCUGUUGUUUUUUUCUCUUCUCCUCGAUGGGGAAGACGAAACGGUAGUGGCGGCGGCGACAUGGUGAAAAUAGAACGGCGGAAACAGUUGAACGAUGGUGAGGCAAAACGGCAGCGGUAAUGGAGAAGGCAGAACAUCGGUUUCUUCUCUCUUCUCCAUGAUUUUCUGAACCGACCGACUCUUUCUCCACCGUCUAAGUUGUUGUCGGCUGCACAUACUCCGAGAAUUGAUGCUCCAGCGCAUGUGCCUGUUCAAGCUCCUACAUAUCACUUACAAUGUCGUCGCCGUCUUCACCAUCGUUUGUUUCUGCCCCGUUUCGCUUCACCGUCGUUCUGUUUUCGCCGCCGAUCUGCUUCACCAUCAUCCUGUCUUCGCCGCCGAUUCGCUGCAACAGUUGUACUGCCUUCACCAUUGUUCUAGUGCACAGCCACCAUUACGCUGCCUUCACCCUUGUUUGAAUUGACUGGCAAUCCCAGUACAGAAACUUCUGUUGCAAUAUUUGCACAGCAAAUGUCUUUGCUUUGCUGCUACUGCACCCUUCUUGUUACUCUCAUCGCUAGUUGAUGAUUCCAAAAUACCAAAAUGGCCCAGCAGAUUAAGCUCUAGGUUGUCGUUACUUGAGAGGCUAGGAUCAAGUAAACAAUCAUUUGCCUUGAUGCCUUGGUUCUUGUCUUGAUCAACAUCUGACAAUUUUAAUAUUUUGACCUACAUGGAGCAGGGGUACUACUGAUACACAAUUUAUGUACAAUUCAAAUAAUGAAUUUUGCAUCUUAUCAUACAUAGAAGAAAAUCUACAAUGAAAUAUGCAUAUUCAUUGAAAUGGUAAGAUUGGUAAACAUAAGUUUCGCUUCAUGAGUGCAAUCCAAAGUAGUAUUCAGCCAUACUUGUGAAAAUAUGCCAACUUACAACUAAGCCUCUGUUGUACCAUCAUUUUAUACUUAGUUACCAAAUACAUUUUAAUGCAUACUUAUAUUGUCAAA